RNAcentral lists this ribosomal RNA (402 nucleotides) under Triticum aestivum (bread wheat). RNAcentral's name for it is "partial small subunit ribosomal RNA". Lineage: Eukaryota; Viridiplantae; Streptophyta; Magnoliopsida; Poales; Poaceae. The record is from RNAcentral.
AUGGGCGGCGGGGCGCCGCGCUCUACCUCGGCACCAACGCCCUCUGCGACGUCGAGGGCGGCCACCGGGCCAUCGUCUUCGACCGCCUCGAGGCCGGGGGUCGAGGGCGGCCACCAGGCCAUCGUCUUCGACCGCCUCGAGGCCGGGGGUCGAGGGCGGCCACCAGGCCAUCGUAUUCGACCGCCUCGAGGCCGGGGGUCGAGGGCAAGGUCUAGGCACCCCGAGGGGACUCGCAUCGUACCUCAUCCCGUGGGUGGAUUCGAGAGGCCGAUCAUCCAGGACCCAAUUUCGUGGAGAGCACCUCCGGGAGCAGGGGUCUCCAGAUGGUGUGAAUUGGUCUUCGUGUUCUUACACGACCCAUGCCAGAGAGACUUCCAACUAUGUACAAGACAGGAGAAUUAA